AUAGACCCACUCAUUUUUAUGAAGGUCUAUUUUAGCAAGGUGCACCUUUUCUCUUGGACCAAAAUAUCCAUUUUUGCUUUUUGAACAAAUCAAAAUUCAAGGAUAAAAUUGUCAUUUUAAUGUGUUAUUAUUGCUUUUGUUCUUCUUUCCUCUCGGUCAAUUACUGAUUCAUUGACUUUCUUGAGUUUCUCCAUUUUCAUUCUUCUUCCUAAAACCUUCUCUCUUCUUCUGCAAAUCGAAACCUGUGACCCAAAGAAAAUUCAAAAUCAAAAACCCAUUAAAAACUCAUUUCUUAGCUGCUGGGAUUAAUAAGCUUCAUUGGGGUAUAAUUUCUCGUGGGUCU
This 343-nucleotide long non-coding RNA is filed under the name Medicago truncatula (barrel medic). RNAcentral's name for it is "long non-coding RNA (MTRU_LNC004626)". The record is from RNAcentral. Lineage: Eukaryota; Viridiplantae; Streptophyta; Magnoliopsida; Fabales; Fabaceae.